GAAUCGCUAGUAAUCGUGGAUCAGAAUGUCACGAUGAAUACGUUCCCGGGCCUUGUACACACCGCCCGUCACACCAUGGGAGUGGACUGCACCAGAAGUGGUUAGCCUAACUUCGGAGGGCGAUCACCACGGUGUGGUUCAUGACUGGGGUGAAGUCGUAACAAGGUAGCCGUAGGGGAACCUGCGGCUGGAUCACCUCCUUAA
RNAcentral lists this ribosomal RNA (204 nucleotides) under Halomonas sp. CA1-3XX. RNAcentral's name for it is "partial 16S ribosomal RNA". It matches the Rfam family "Bacterial small subunit ribosomal RNA", at positions 1329 to 1533 of the family's 1533-position model. Lineage: Bacteria; Pseudomonadati; Pseudomonadota; Gammaproteobacteria; Oceanospirillales; Halomonadaceae. The record is from RNAcentral.